AUAGGGGAGCCGCAGGGAAACCGAGUCUUAAUUGGGCGUUAAGUUGCAGGGUAUAGACCCGAAACCCGGUGAUCUAGCCAUGGGCAGGUUGAAGGUUGGGUAACACUAACUGGAGGACCGAACCGACUAAUGUUGAAAAAUUAGCGGAUGACCUGUGGCUGGGGGUGAAAGGCCAAUCAAACCGGGAGAUAGCUGGUUCUCCCCGAAAGCUAUUUAGGUAGCGCCUCGUGAACUCAUCUCCGGGGGUAGAGCACUGUUUCGGCUAGGGGGUCAUCCCGACUUACCAACCCGAUGCAAACUGCGAAUACCGGAGAAUGUUAUCACGGGAGACACACGGCGGGUGCUAACGUCCGUCGUGAAGAGGGAAACAACCCAGACCGCCAGCUAAGGUCCCAAAGUCAUGGUUAAGUGGGAAACGAUGUGGGAAGGCCCAGACAGCCAGGAUGUUGGCUUAGAAGCAGCCAUCAUUUAAAGAAAGCGUAAUAGCUCACUGGUCGAGUCGGCCUGCGCGGAAGAUGUAACGGGGCUAAACCAUGCACCGAAGCUGCGGCAGCGACACUGUGUGUUGUUGGGUAGGGGAGCGUUCUGUAAGCCUGUGAAGGUGUGUCGUGAGGCAUGCUGGAGGUAUCAGAAGUGCGAAUGCUGACAUAAGUAACGAUAAAGCGGGUGAAAAGCCCGCUCGCCGGAAGACCAAGGGUUCCUGUCCAACGUUAAUCGGGGCAGGGUGAGUCGACCCCUAAGGCGAGGCCGAAAGGCGUAGUCGAUGGGAAACGGGUUAAUAUUCCCGUACUUGGUGUUACUGCGAAGGGGGGACGGAGAAGGCUAUGUUGGCCGGGCGACGGUUGUCCCGGUUUAAGCGUGUAGGCUGGUUUUCUAGGCAAAUCCGGAAAAUCAAGGCUGAGGCGUGACGACGAGGCACUACGGUGCUGAAGCAACAAAUGCCCUGCUUCCAGGAAAAGCCUCUAAGCAUCAGGUAACACGAAAUCGUACCCCAAACCGACACAGGUGGUCAGGUAGAGAAUACCAAGGCGCUUGAGAGAACUCGGGUGAAGGAACUAGGCAAAAUGGUGCCGUAACUUCGGGAGAAGGCACGCUGACACGUAGGUGAAGUGAUUUACUCACGGAGCUGAAGUCAGUCGAAGAUACCAGCUGGCUGCAACUGUUUAUUAAAAACACAGCACUGUGCAAACACGAAAGUGGACGUAUACGGUGUGACGCCUGCCCGGUGCCGGAAGGUUAAUUGAUGGGGUCAGCGCAAGCGAAGCUCCUGAUCGAAGCCCCGGUAAACGGCGGCCGUAACUAUAACGGUCCUAAGGUAGCGAAAUUCCUUGUCGGGUAAGUUCCGACCUGCACGAAUGGCGUAAUGAUGGCCAGGCUGUCUCCACCCGAGACUCAGUGAAAUUGAACUCGCUGUGAAGAUGCAGUGUACCCGCGGCAAGACGGAAAGACCCCGUGAACCUUUACUAUAGCUUGACACUGAACAUUGAGCCUUGAUGUGUAGGAUAGGUGGGAGGCUUUGAAGCGUGGACGCCAGUCUGC
Molecule: ribosomal RNA, 1539 nt
Filed under: Salmonella enterica
Lineage: Bacteria; Pseudomonadati; Pseudomonadota; Gammaproteobacteria; Enterobacterales; Enterobacteriaceae
Description: bacterial LSU rRNA
Rfam family: Bacterial large subunit ribosomal RNA
Source: RNAcentral